RNAcentral lists this ribosomal RNA (465 nucleotides) under uncultured bacterium. Its description in RNAcentral is "partial 16S ribosomal RNA". It matches the Rfam family "Bacterial small subunit ribosomal RNA", at positions 28 to 507 of the family's 1533-position model. The record is from RNAcentral.
GACGAACGCUGGCGGCGUGCUUAACACAUGCAAGUCGAACGGAAAGGCCCCAGCUUGCUGGGGUACUCGAGUGGCGAACGGGUGAGUAACACGUGGGUGAUCUGCCCUGCACUCUGGGAUAAGCCUGGGAAACUGGGUCUAAUACCGGAUAGGACCGUGCUUUAGUGUGUGCGGUGGAAAGUUUUUCGGUGCAGGAUGAGCCCGCGGCCUAUCAGCUUGUUGGUGGGGUAAUGGCCUACCAAGGCGGCGACGGGUAGCCGGCCUGAGAGGGUGUACGGCCACAUUGGGACUGAGACACGGCCCAGACUCCUACGGGAGGCAGCAGUGGGGAAUAUUGCACAAUGGGCGCAAGCCUGAUGCAGCGACGCCGCGUGGGGGAUGACGGCCUUCGGGUUGUAAACCACUUUCGGCAGGGACGAAGCUUUUGUGACGGUACCUGCAGAAGAAGCACCGGCUAACUACGUG